UACGGAGGGUGCGAGCGUUUAUCGGAAUUACUGGGCGUAAAGCGCGCGUAGGCGGUUUGUUAAGUCGGAUGUGAAAGCCCCGGGCUCAACCUGGGAACUGCACCCGAUACUGGCCGACUUGAGUGCGAGAGAGGGAGGUAGAAUUCCAUGUGUAGCGGUGAAAUGCGUAGAUAUAUGGAGGAAUACCGGUGGCGAAGGCGGCCUCCUGGCUCGACACUGACGCUGAGGUGCGAAAGCGUGGGUAGCAAACAGG
This 253-nucleotide ribosomal RNA is filed under the name uncultured bacterium. Its description in RNAcentral is "partial 16S ribosomal RNA". It matches the Rfam family "Bacterial small subunit ribosomal RNA", at positions 524 to 776 of the family's 1533-position model. The record is from RNAcentral.